GACGAACGCUGGCGGCGUGCUUAACACAUGCAAGUCGAGCGGAAAGGCCCUUCGGGGUACUCGAGCGGCGAACGGGUGAGUAACACGUGAGUAACCUGCCCCAGACUUUGGGAUAACCCUCGGAAGCGGGGGCUAAUACCGGAUACGACACAGCUUCGCAUGGGGUCUGUGUGGAAAGUUUUUCGGUUUGGGAUGGGCUCGCGGCCUAUCAGCUUGUUGGUGGGGUGAUGGCCUACCAAGGCGACGACGGGUAGCCGGCCUGAGAGGGCGACCGGCCACACUGGGACUGAGACACGGCCCAGACUCCUACGGGAGGCAGCAGUGGGGAAUAUUGCACAAUGGGCGGAAGCCUGAUGCAGCGACGCCGCGUGAGGGAUGACGGCCUUCGGGUUGUAAACCCCUUUCAGCAGGGACGAAGCGUAAGUGACGGUACCUGCAGAAGAAGCGCCGGCCAACUACGUG
RNAcentral lists this ribosomal RNA (462 nucleotides) under uncultured bacterium. RNAcentral's name for it is "partial 16S ribosomal RNA". It matches the Rfam family "Bacterial small subunit ribosomal RNA", at positions 28 to 507 of the family's 1533-position model. The record is from RNAcentral.